GCCUGGGUGGCUCAGUCGGUGAAGCGUCUGACUUCGGCUCAGGUCAUGAUCUCACGGUUCAUGGGUUCAAGCCCCAUGUCAGGCU
RNAcentral lists this transfer RNA (85 nucleotides) under Felis catus (domestic cat). It matches the Rfam family "tRNA". From Rfam's summary of the family: Transfer RNA (tRNA) molecules are approximately 80 nucleotides in length. Their secondary structure includes four short double-helical elements and three loops (D, anti-codon, and T loops). The record is from Rfam by way of RNAcentral. RNAcentral also lists the same sequence under 3 other names. Lineage: Eukaryota; Metazoa; Chordata; Mammalia; Carnivora; Felidae.